Molecule: ribosomal RNA, 484 nt
Filed under: uncultured bacterium
Lineage: Bacteria
Description: partial 16S ribosomal RNA
Rfam family: Bacterial small subunit ribosomal RNA
Source: RNAcentral
GGGGGGGGGGGGGGGGGGGGCGGGCGCGGGCAGGGCGGGCGGGGGGGGGGGGCGUGCUCCUGGAUGCAGCGGCGGACGGGUGGGUAAUGCCUAGAAAUCUGCCUGGUAGUGGGGGAUGACGUCCGGAAACGGGCGCUAAUACCGCAUACGUCCUGAGGGAGCAAGGGGGGGAUCUUCGGACCUCACGCUCUCAGAUGAGCCUAGGUCGGAUUAGCUAGUUGGUGGGGUAAAGGCCUACCAAGGCGACGAUCCGUAACUGGUCUGAGAGGAUGAUCAGUCACACUGGAACUGAGACACGGUCCAGACUCCUACGGGAGGCAGCAGUGGGGAAUAUUGGACAAUGGGCGAAAGCCUGAUCCAGCCAUGCCGCGUGUGUGAAGAAGGUCUUCGGAUUGUAAAGCACUUUAAGUUGGGAGGAAGGGCAGUAAGUUAAUACCUUGCUGUUUUGACGUUACCAACAGAAUAAGCACCGGCUAACUUCGUG